GUGCCAGCAGCCGCGGUAAUACGUAGGUCCCGAGCGUUGUCCGGAUUUAUUGGGCGUAAAGCGAGCGCAGGUGGUUUAAUAAGUCUGAUGUAAAAGGCAGUGGCUCAACCAUUGUGUGCAUUGGAAACUGUUAGACUUGAGUGCAGUAGAGGAGAGUGGAAUUCCAUGUGUAGCGGUGAAAUGCGUAGAUAUAUGGAGGAACACCGGUGGCGAAAGCGGCUCUCUGGACUGUAACUGACACUGAGGCUCGAAAGCGUGGGUAGCAAACAGGAUUAGAUACCCUGGUAGUCCACGCCGUAAACGAUGAGUGCUAGUUGUUUGGGGCUAUCCAGCCCUAAGUGACGCAGCAAACGCAUUAAGCACUCCGCCUGGGGAGUACGACCGCAAGGUUGAAACUCAAAGGAAUUGACGGGGGCCCGCACAAGCGGUGGAGCAUGUGGUUUAAUUCGAAGCAACGCGAAGAACCUUACCAGGUCUUGACAUACCAGUGCUAUUCUUAGAGAUAAGAAGUUACUUCGGUACACUGGAUACAGGUGGUGUAUGGUUGUCGUCAGCUCGUGUCGUGAGAUGUUGGGUUAAGUCCCGCAACGAGCGCAACCCCUAUUGUUAGUUGCCAUCAUUAAGUUGGGCACUCUAGCGAGACUGCCGGUAAUAAACCGGAGGAAGGUGGGGAUGACGUCAAAUCAUCAUGCCCCUUAUGACCUGGGCUACACACGUGCUACAAUGGUUGGUACAACGAGUCGCAAGCUAGUGAUAGCAAGCUAAUCUCUUAAAGCCAAUCUCAGUUCGGAUUGUAGGCUGCAACUCGCCUACAUGAAGUCGGAAUCGCUAGUAAUCGCGGAUCAGCACGCCGCGGUGAAUACGUUCCCGGGCCUUGUACACACCGCCC
This 889-nucleotide ribosomal RNA is filed under the name uncultured bacterium. RNAcentral's name for it is "bacterial SSU rRNA". It matches the Rfam family "Bacterial small subunit ribosomal RNA", at positions 505 to 1395 of the family's 1533-position model. The record is from RNAcentral.